GAUGAAGAACGUAGCGAAAUGCGAUACGUAAUGUGAAUUACAGAAUUCAGUGAAUCAUCGAGUCUUUGAACGCACAUUGCGCCCCCUGGUAUUCCGGGGGGCAUGCCUGUCCGAGCGUCAUUGCUGCCCUCAAGCACGGCUUGUGUGUUGGGCCUCCGUCCUCCUCCCGGGGGACGGGCCCGAAAGGCAGCGGCGGCACCGCGUCCGGUCCUCGAGCGUAUGGGGCUUCGUCACCCGCUCUUGUAGGCCCGGCCGGCGCUUGCCGACACAUCAAUCUUUUUUCCAGGUUGACCUCGGAUCAGGUAGGGAUACCCGCUGAACUUAAGCAUAUCAAUAAGCGGAGGA
RNAcentral lists this unclassified non-coding RNA (345 nucleotides) under soil metagenome. RNAcentral's name for it is "partial contains 5.8S ribosomal RNA, internal transcribed spacer 2, and large subunit ribosomal RNA". The stretch from base 1 to 120 matches the Rfam family "5.8S ribosomal RNA", at positions 35 to 154 of the family's 154-position model. The record is from RNAcentral.